This 253-nucleotide ribosomal RNA is filed under the name uncultured bacterium. Its description in RNAcentral is "partial 16S ribosomal RNA". It matches the Rfam family "Bacterial small subunit ribosomal RNA", at positions 524 to 776 of the family's 1533-position model. The record is from RNAcentral.
UACGUAGGGUGCAGGCGUUAAUCGGAAUUACUGGGCGUAAAGCGUGCGCAGGCGGUUUGUUAAGACAGAUGUGAAAUCCCCGGGCUUAACCUGGGAACUGCGUUUGUAACUGGCAAGCUAGAGUGUGGCAGAGGGGGGUGGAAUUCCAAGUGUAGCAGUGAAAUGCGUAGAUAUUUGGAGGAACACCAAUGGCGAAGGCAGCCCCCUGGGUUAACACUGACGCUCAGGCACGAAAGCGUGGGGAGCAAACAGG